RNAcentral lists this non-coding RNA (29 nucleotides) under Cricetulus griseus (Chinese hamster). The record is from RNAcentral. Lineage: Eukaryota; Metazoa; Chordata; Mammalia; Rodentia; Cricetidae.
CAUUUAGUGGAUAAGUGGAAGCUGAGAUG